GCAGUAGUGGUUCAGUGCUAGAAAUCUCACUUUCCACGUGGGAGAACAGGGUUUGAAUCCUGGCCAAUGCA
This 71-nucleotide transfer RNA is filed under the name Loxodonta africana (African savanna elephant). It matches the Rfam family "tRNA". From Rfam's summary of the family: Transfer RNA (tRNA) molecules are approximately 80 nucleotides in length. Their secondary structure includes four short double-helical elements and three loops (D, anti-codon, and T loops). The record is from Rfam by way of RNAcentral. Lineage: Eukaryota; Metazoa; Chordata; Mammalia; Proboscidea; Elephantidae.